CCCACCCAAACUGGGCACUGUUCAUGCUCCAGAACUGCUGUUCAGGAACAUUACAGUGGCUCCAGGCUGUGUUCCGCUGAAGCCAAUUAGAAGCUUCCAAAUCAAUCCUUCCUUCCCCUCCUGGUGUUUGUGUGGGAAAUGGAAUUGGUGUUUCAGCUGUGUGGUGCCAGCUGGCAGGGCAGAGCCCCUGCAGUGACUGGAAGUGCCUGGUGUCAGACUACUGGUCUCAUGUCAGCUCCGGGGUUUGUGUGACACAGCAUCCUCCAUAGUUGUGAUGGACUGAAAUGUCGGUAAUGUCUUAAACAUUGUCAAAAUCACAGAAAGACUUUUUGUCAAACUACAAGGAAGCAACUGCCUGUCUGGGACCACCGAAGCCCGACUGGAAUUUGGACUGUGACUGGGGACUUGAGAUAAGGCUACUGUCUAAUCAUCUCACGUCUGAGGAGAAGUAAACAAGGCUCAGGAAAGAAGAAUUUAUGUGUGUUAAGAAUCAGCCCUGGCUGGGCUCAGGGGGUAGUGGAGGAGAAAGGUUUUGGGUGUGUGAUGGUGAAAUCUCUCCACACCAAACCGAAGGAGUAACACCCUGACCCCCGGAAAGACCACGUACACACAGGACAUUCACGUGAGAGGCAGCUGAGAAGGGUCAUAAACCACCAAAGACCCCCAAAGCGCCCCCAGACUCAUUCCUGAGGCCUUCCACUACCAGAGCACUGCACCUGAUCCAACUGAUCCAACAAAUCCAGAGUCUGUUACAAGAGACUGCAAAGCUUCCCCCCUCCGCUCCAUGGGAGGUACCUGGGCAUCUCCUGAAUGUAUAUUAAUCCAUUGGACUCUAUGUUUUUUAGGAAACCCUCCCCACCAAGAAGACCAGAAGAACCUGACCGACGGGAUGCAGCCAGGUGACAUGGAGCGGUGAUACUUUUUCUAUUUUAAUCUCUCUCUGUCACACUCUUUUUUCUAUUCCC
Molecule: long non-coding RNA, 965 nt
Organism: Pipra filicauda (Wire-tailed manakin)
Lineage: Eukaryota; Metazoa; Chordata; Aves; Passeriformes; Pipridae
Exons: 3
Source: RefSeq, a predicted model, not a curated record